This is a non-coding RNA of Acanthosepion pharaonis, 96 nucleotides long. The record is from the annotation of a GenBank genome assembly. NCBI's taxonomy places the organism in Eukaryota, Metazoa, Mollusca, Cephalopoda, Sepiida, Sepiidae.
GGCCGUAUCACGUUGAAACACCGGUUCCCGUACGAACACCGAAGUUAAGAAACGUCAGCACCUAGAUGGGUGACUGCUUGGGAAUACCAGGUGCUU